This 466-nucleotide long non-coding RNA is filed under the name Sorghum bicolor (sorghum). RNAcentral describes it as "long non-coding RNA (SBIC_LNC000120)". The record is from RNAcentral. Lineage: Eukaryota; Viridiplantae; Streptophyta; Magnoliopsida; Poales; Poaceae.
CUUCCCGGUAAAUCUGUAAAUUGAACGAAGCAAACGAAGGCACACUACAAGGUCCAACAUGUGAACACCAUUCCUUGCAGUUGGGCCAUCAAAACUCGCCCGGCCCAACGGAACCUCUAACCUAUAUACCGAAAUGCGAAAUAUAGCCCAGCUGUUCCGCGGAGCGAACGAUCCAAGCAACCCACCCAGCCACCCAUCGCCAAUUCGCCAUGCGUGAGGCGAUCGGAGCAUCCCGUCCCGAGGUGGAAGACGCUGGUGCGGACGAAGGCAGUGGUGUACGCCGACCACUUUAUGCUCUCCUGCCACAACUGGGUCAGUGUGGUGUGGCCGCUACGAAAUCUUGCUGGAUCGAACAUUUUAGUAAUGAUUUUACUGACCUUCUGCAUGUGCUGGAUGCAUGCAUAGGGCCCUGACGCGUGGUUGCGCAACGCCAACACCUCGGAGGGCUUCCGGCCAGGCCCAGGGC